This is a long non-coding RNA of Gambusia affinis (western mosquitofish), 373 nucleotides long. RefSeq lists it as uncharacterized. The record is from RefSeq and is a predicted model, not a curated record. The transcript is spliced from 3 exons. Lineage: Eukaryota; Metazoa; Chordata; Actinopteri; Cyprinodontiformes; Poeciliidae.
GAGGAGGGAGGGAGCCGUUUGGUUUCCUGUUCCAGGCUGAUCGCGUCAGACAAAGCUGGCCAUGGGUUUUUACACAAAUUCUAUCCGUCUUCAGAUCCACUUCGCCGUUAAUCAAAGCGAUCAGGAGAACCAGAUCGGAGGGGAACCCGAGUCUGUCCCCGACUUUACGUGAGAGCAGACCCGGGAGGAAAUGUCGUCUUCACCCCGGGGGCAGAGGGAGGCGCGAUGAUCUACGAGCAAAUGUCGUGAUCGGACAGAAGAGGGGUUCGAUUUUAGCAGAAGCCGAGGUUCCGGCCACGUCACUCAAAGAGAAACCCGUACAUGUGAGGAAAUGAAGGAGAGUUCAACAUCAACCAAUGAAGUUGCCUGAAAC